GAGCCAGCCGCCGAAGGUGGGGUAGAUGAUUGGGGUGAAGUCGUAACAAGGUAGCCGUAUCGGAAGGUGCGGCUGGAUCACCUCCUUU
Molecule: ribosomal RNA, 88 nt
Filed under: Paenibacillus lautus
Lineage: Bacteria; Bacillati; Bacillota; Bacilli; Caryophanales; Paenibacillaceae
Also listed under: 7 other names
Description: partial 16S ribosomal RNA
Rfam family: Bacterial small subunit ribosomal RNA
Source: RNAcentral